This 452-nucleotide ribosomal RNA is filed under the name Veillonellaceae bacterium oral taxon 155. RNAcentral's name for it is "bacterial SSU rRNA". It matches the Rfam family "Bacterial small subunit ribosomal RNA", at positions 28 to 470 of the family's 1533-position model. The record is from RNAcentral. Lineage: Bacteria; Bacillati; Bacillota; Negativicutes; Veillonellales; Veillonellaceae.
GACGAACGCUGGCGGCGUGCUUAACACAUGCAAGUCGAACGGAGCGAUUUAUUUCGGUAAAUCGCUUAGUGGCAAACGGGUGAGUAACGCGUAGGCAACCUGCCCUCAGGAUGGGGACAACGGCUCGAAAGAGCCGCUAAUACCGAAUGACGUAACUCUUCCACAUGGAAGAGAUACUAAAGAUGGGUCAAACCAUCGCCUAAGGAUGGGCCUGCGUCUGAUUAGCCAGUUGGUGAGGUAACGGCUCACCAAAGCGACGAUCAGUAGCCGGUCUGAGAGGAUGAGCGGCCACAAUGGGACUGAGACACGGCCCAUACUCCUACGGGAGGCAGCAGUGGGGAAUCUUCCGCAAUGGGCGAAAGCCUGACGGAGCAACGCCGCGUGAGUGAAGAAGGUCUUCGGAUCGUAAAGCUCUGUUGUCGGGGACGAAAGAGUAGACGAGGUAAUGCGUU